Molecule: ribosomal RNA, 96 nt
Filed under: uncultured bacterium
Lineage: Bacteria
Description: partial 16S ribosomal RNA
Rfam family: Bacterial small subunit ribosomal RNA
Source: RNAcentral
CACCGCCCGUCACACCACGAAAGUUGAUCGCACCAGAAGACAUUGUACCAACCUUCGGGAGGAAGAUGUCCAAGGGUGAGAUCGAUGAUUGGGGUG